CAAAGAUUAAGCCAUGCACGUGUAAGUUUACGCCGUCGGCCGAAACUGCGAAUAGCUCAAUAAUCCAGCGAUAAUCCACCCGGCACAAAGGCUAGUAGACGCUCGGAUACCCGCGGGAAUUCUGUGGAUAAACCGUGUCUGCCUUCUCGCACACGUUGUCAGAGCACAGCCGGCAUGCCCCGCCUCGCGCGGGGCGCACGGUGAGCCAUGACAAAGUCGUCGAUCGGCGUCAUGCCGACGCGCCGGACGAGUUUCUGCCCUAUCAUCUUGUCGGUAGGAUAUGGGCCUACCGAGGAUACAACGGGUAACGGGAAAUCAGGGUUUGAUUCCGGAGAGGGAGCCUGAGAAACGGCUACCACAUCC
This 363-nucleotide ribosomal RNA is filed under the name Codium fragile. Its description in RNAcentral is "SSU rRNA". It matches the Rfam family "Eukaryotic small subunit ribosomal RNA", at positions 38 to 417 of the family's 1831-position model. Lineage: Eukaryota; Viridiplantae; Chlorophyta; Ulvophyceae; Bryopsidales; Codiaceae. The record is from RNAcentral.